UGCCAGCAGCCGCGGUAAUACAUAGGGGGCUAGCGUUGUUCGGAAUUAUUGGGCGUAAAGGGCGCGCAGGCGGUCUUGUCAGUCAGGUGUGAAAGCCCGGGGCUCAACCCGGAUGGUCACUUGAAACAGCAAGACUUGAGUACUGGAGAGGAAAGCGGAAUUCCUGGUGUAGAGGUGAAAUUCGUAGAUAUCAGGAGGGACACCGAUGGCGAAGGCAGCUUUCUGGACAGAUACUGACGCUGAGGCGCGAAGGCGUGGGUAGCGAACGGGAUUAGAUA
Molecule: ribosomal RNA, 278 nt
Filed under: uncultured bacterium
Lineage: Bacteria
Description: partial 16S ribosomal RNA
Rfam family: Bacterial small subunit ribosomal RNA
Source: RNAcentral